This 961-nucleotide ribosomal RNA is filed under the name Salmonella enterica subsp. salamae. RNAcentral's name for it is "bacterial SSU rRNA". It matches the Rfam family "Bacterial small subunit ribosomal RNA", at positions 20 to 970 of the family's 1533-position model. Lineage: Bacteria; Pseudomonadati; Pseudomonadota; Gammaproteobacteria; Enterobacterales; Enterobacteriaceae. The record is from RNAcentral.
UGGCUCAGAUUGAACGCUGGCGGCAGGCCUAACACAUGCAAGUCGAACGGUAACAGGAAGCAGCUUGCUGCUUCGCUGACGAGUGGCGGACGGGUGAGUAAUGUCUGGGAAACUGCCUGAUGGAGGGGGAUAACUACUGGAAACGGUGGCUAAUACCGCAUAACGUCGCAAGACCAAAGAGGGGGACCUUCGGGCCUCUUGCCAUCAGAUGUGCCCAGAUGGGAUUAGCUUGUUGGUGAGGUAACGGCUCACCAAGGCGACGAUCCCUAGCUGGUCUGAGAGGAUGACCAGCCACACUGGAACUGAGACACGGUCCAGACUCCUACGGGAGGCAGCAGUGGGGAAUAUUGCACAAUGGGCGCAAGCCUGAUGCAGCCAUGCCGCGUGUAUGAAGAAGGCCUUCGGGUUGUAAAGUACUUUCAGCGGGGAGGAAGGUGUUGCGGUUAAUAACCGCAGCAAUUGACGUUACCCGCAGAAGAAGCACCGGCUAACUCCGUGCCAGCAGCCGCGGUAAUACGGAGGGUGCAAGCGUUAAUCGGAAUUACUGGGCGUAAAGCGCACGCAGGCGGUCUGUCAAGUCGGAUGUGAAAUCCCCGGGCUCAACCUGGGAACUGCAUUCGAAACUGGCAGGCUUGAGUCUUGUAGAGGGGGGUAGAAUUCCAGGUGUAGCGGUGAAAUGCGUAGAGAUCUGGAGGAAUACCGGUGGCGAAGGCGGCCCCCUGGACAAAGACUGACGCUCAGGUGCGAAAGCGUGGGGAGCAAACAGGAUUAGAUACCCUGGUAGUCCACGCCGUAAACGAUGUCUACUUGGAGGUUGUGCCCUUGAGGCGUGGCUUCCGGAGCUAACGCGUUAAGUAGACCGCCUGGGGAGUACGGCCGCAAGGUUAAAACUCAAAUGAAUUGACGGGGGCCCGCACAAGCGGUGGAGCAUGUGGUUUAAUUCGAUGCAACGCGAAGAACC